CCUACGGGAGGCAGCAGUAGGGAAUCUUCCACAAUGGACGAAAGUCUGAUGGAGCAACGCCGCGUGAGUGAAGAAGGGUUUCGGCUCGUAAAGCUCUGUUGGUAGUGAAGAAAGAUAGAGGUAGUAACUGGCCUUUAUUUGACGGUAAUUACUUAGAAAGUCACGGCUAACUACGUGACAGCAGCCGCGGUAAUACGUAGGUGGCAAGCGUUGUCCGGAUUUAUUGGGCGUAAAGCGAGUGCAGGCGGUUCAAUAAGUCUGAUGUGAAAGCCUUCGGCUCAACCGGAGAAUUGCAUCAGAUACUGUUGAACUGGAGUGCAGAAGAGGAGGGUGGAACUCCAUGUGUAGCGGUGGAAUGCGUAGAGAUAUGGAAGAACACCAGUGGCGAAGGCGGCUCUCUGGUCUGCAACUGACGCUGAGGCUCGAAAGCAUGGGUAGCGAACAGGAUUAGAUACCCUUGUAGUC
This 465-nucleotide ribosomal RNA is filed under the name uncultured bacterium. Its description in RNAcentral is "partial 16S ribosomal RNA". It matches the Rfam family "Bacterial small subunit ribosomal RNA", at positions 338 to 795 of the family's 1533-position model. The record is from RNAcentral.